UUGGUCAAUAGCCUAACGGCUGAACCAGCAACUUGCCAGAGGGGUUGUUGUUAAUUUACAGUUAUAGAUAGCGACAACAAGUGGUUUUCCACAUAAACCUCUAGAAAAAAAAGAUAAUGACAUUUUUUUUAUCUAAAUGUCUUGACUAACUCACGUGCCAGCAGUCGCGGUAAGACGUGGAAGACUAGUGUUAGUCAUCUUUAUUGGGUUUAAAGGGUACCUAGACGGUCAAUCACGCCUCUCCUAAAAUAGAGGGGAACGAAUUGUACUAGAGUUUUAUGGGAAAGGAGAUAUUGUAUUAACGGAGGAGAGAUAGAAUUUAUUGAUACCGUUAGGAACGGAUAAUGGCGAAGGCGAUCCUUUAUGUAAAAACUGACGUUGAGGGACGAAGGCUUGGGUAACCAACAGGAUUAGAUACCCUAGCAGUCCAAGCAGAAAAUGAUGAGUGCCAUAGGUUAGAUUAAUUUUGAUCUAUAAAUGAAAGUGUAAGCAUUCCACCUCAAGAGUAGUGCGGCAACGCAGGAACUGAAAUCAUUAGACCGUUUCUGAGAUCAGUAGUGAAGCAUGUUGUUUAAUUUGAUAGUCCGCAAAAAACCUUACCACAGCUUGAAUGUUUAGUAUAAUAGUUAGCGUAAUACUGAGUGUAAUACUUAGUAAUAUACUGAGUAGUACUAAAUACAGGUGCUGCAUGGCUGUCUUCAGUUAAUGUUGUGAAACUUAGGUUAGUUCCGUUAAAUUAACGAAAACCCUUGCUAUAUUUACUUUUAUAUAGCAGCACUCCGAUAUAAUGGAUUAGAUAAUAGGGAGCAAGACAAGUAAUCACGGCCCU
This 829-nucleotide ribosomal RNA is filed under the name Chrysothrix sp. Jp1. RNAcentral describes it as "mitochondrial SSU rRNA". It matches the Rfam family "Bacterial small subunit ribosomal RNA", at positions 364 to 1202 of the family's 1533-position model. The record is from RNAcentral. Lineage: Eukaryota; Fungi; Ascomycota; Arthoniomycetes; Arthoniales; Chrysotrichaceae.